UAUUUCAAAAAUGCCUUAGAACUCAUAUGUACAUUCUGUCUGUUCUUAAAAAAGUGUGCCACUGCUCAAUGUAAGGGUGACAAGAGCACUGAAUUAAAAAGAUUUCUAGAGGCUGCAGCAGCAGCAGCAGCCGCCGCCCUCGCCGCGGCGCUCCGCAGCACGCAAGGCGCCCUCCUUCCCUCCCGCCGGCCCUGGUGCACGGGCGGCGGGGCGGCCCGCGGGCCAAGCGUUCGGCACUGCCCAGGCCUGCCGGCCAGCGGUGGGCAGCGCCCCGAGCCCCAGCUGAGCCCUGGGGGCCCCGCUGCGGCCGAGGCCUUGUUCCCGGUGUUCCCUUGCACGCUGCUGGCCCCCGCCUUCCCCGUGGGGGGCCUGGACUCCCAGGGGGUGGGCGGCCUCAUGAACUCCUUCCAGCCACCUCAGGGUCACGCCCAGAACCCCCUGCAGGUCGGGGCUGAGCUCCAGUCCCGCUUCUUUGCCUCCCAGGGCUGCGCCCAGAGUGCAUUCCAAGCUGCCCCGGCGCCCCCGCCCACGCCCAGGCCCUGGCGGCCGAGCCCCCCCCAGGUGGACUUGCUCCCGGUGCUCGCUGCUGCCCAGGAGUCGGCCGCGGCCGCCGCCUCCACGGUGGACACAGCGGCCCUGAAACAGCCCCUGGCGCCCCCUCCGCCACCCCCACCCGUGUUGGCGUCUGCGGCCGAGGCCGCGCCCCCCCGUCCCCCGCCUCCGCCGCCACCAUCGCCGCAGCGGCGGCCACCGCCGUCUAGCCCCAACAUCGACGGUCGCCGUGGCCCCAGUCGCGUCUGCCUUGGAGAAGACAAAGAGCAAGGGGCCCUACAUCUGCGCUCUCUGCGCCAAGGAAUUCAAGAACUGCUACAACCUCCGGAGGCAGGAAGCCAUCCACACGGGAGCCAAGGCCGGCCGGGUCCCUCGGGUGCUAUGAAGAUGCCCACUAUGGUGCCCCUGAGCCUCCUGAGCGUGACCCAGCUGAGCGGAGCCGGCGGGGGAGGAGGAGAAGUGGGUGCCAGCGGCGGCGCGGCCGCAGUGGCCGCCGGUGGCGUGGUGACCACGACCGCCUAGGGGAAGCGCAUCCGGAAGAACCACGCCUGCGAGAUGUGCAGCAAGGCCUUCCGCGAUGUCUACCACCUGAACCGACAAAGCUGUCUCACUGGGACGAGAAAGCCCUACCAGUGCCGGGUGUGCCAACAGCGCUUCAAGCGCAAGGACCGCAUGAGCUACCACGUGCGUUCACCUGAUGGCGCUGUACAGAAGCCCUACAAUUGCUCCCACUGUGGCAAGAGCUUCUCCUGGCAGGAUCACCUCAACAGUCAGGUCAGACAAGUGCACUCAACAGAACGGCCCUUCAAAUGUGAGAAAUGUGAAGCGGCUGUCGCUAGGAAGGAUCGGCUGCGGGCGCACACAGUACGACACGAGGAGAAGGUGCCAUGUUACAUGUGUGGCAAGAGGCUGAGCUCGGCUCAUAUUUCGGACCACAUGAAGGUGCACAGCCAGGGCCCUCACCAAGUCUGUGAGCUCUGCAACAAAGGCUUCACCACGGCAGCAUGCCUGCGCAUCCACGCUGUGAAGGACCACGGGCUCCAGGCCCCGCGGGCUGACCGCAUCCUCUGCAAGCUGUGCAGCGUGCAAGACCCCUGCCCAGCUGGCUGGCCACAGGCAGACCCAUCUGGGGGGGGCCGCCCCCCAUCCCAGGAGUCGCCCCCCAACCACAGCCCACCUGCUGAGGGGGACCCCACACCCACCAGGUACUGGUGAGGUUUGUUCAAUGGCGGCGGCGGCAGCAGCGGCGGUGGCAGCAGCAGCAGCGGCGGCAGCUGUGGCAGCGGCAGUAGCAGUUCCUCCCACAGCUGUGGGCUCCCUCUCGGGGCAGAGCGGGUGCCUGUGAGCUCUCAGCCGCUUCCCUCCCAGCCCUGGUGAGCUCCAAGUUGGUUGUGAGGGAGAGGGGAGAAUGGAGUAGAGUCCCUUGGUACAGGCUCCUCUCCCCCCUCUUUUUCCACCAACUCCUCACUGCUUCCCCACCAACCAAGGAGCCUCCGGAAGGAAAGGAGGAAGAUGUUUUAGGGGAAUUCGCUAGGUUUUAACGAUUUGUUUCUCCUGCACCUCUCUUCUAUCAGACCUGACCCCACACAAACCUGUCUCCUCGGUUGUGUUGAAGUCCCGUGGACAGUGGGCAGGAGUGGCAGAGGACAGGAGCAGCCACUGACCGUACCUCCUCUCCUCUCUGUAAGCCUGUGCCCUUUCCUCCCAGGGACUUGUGAGCCUCUUCCUUCAAUGGUUCUCUUACUCUCCUUCCAAUCCUCUCUCCUUGCUGUCUACUGCCCCUCCCUGGGGAGUUGGUGCUUUCUUUCUUUUUUUCCAGGGGGAGGGAGGAGAGGAAGGAGGGAGAUCAGAGCUUCUGUCCCAAAGAGGGAAAGCCGUGAGGUUUGAGGAGGGGCAAAAGCAGGGCCCGCAAAGGUUGUACCUUCAUAAGGUGGUAGGGGGUUUGGGGUCAGGCCCUGAACAUCGUCCUACUUGAGAAUCUGUCAGGGGAAAAAGUUCAGGGGAGCAGAAGGAGGAGCCAGGAGGGUCAGAGGCAGAGGAGAGAUGGAGUUUUAGGGGCCAGCGUGAGCGAGGGGUCCAGGGCCUAGAGGUGCUUCCUGGGGGUGGGGGAAUACUGUUAAGCAGUAUUUAUUGCCUCAGCGGUGUACAGCAGCAGCAGAGGCGCUGCUCUAUGAGGAGCGGGGCUACCCGAUAGGCACUGCGUCCAGGGAAGCAGCUCAGAGGCAGGUCUGCAGUCACAUGCAUACUCACUUUUAGUCAUAUGCAAAUUAAGGGGAGGUUUAUGCAGACAAUUUUUAGAAAAAGGAUGGUAACUUCCCGGUGGUCAGAUUGUUGCCAUGGAAAGGGGCGGUAACUCCCCUGUGUGUUGCCAUGGCAAUGGGAAACUGACAUGGUCUGCUGGUGGGAGCUGAUGGAAAGCUGCUUCCGCUCGUCCCUGUUUUAGCUAGUCCUCAAUUUUGUCCGGUAUCCGAGGCACGCCCUCAGAGUCGAGUCCCGCCCCGUACCUCACUAUCAGUUUGAGUUUCUUUUUUUUUUUUUUU
Non-coding RNA from Callithrix jacchus (white-tufted-ear marmoset), 3092 nucleotides. The record is from RefSeq and is a predicted model, not a curated record. NCBI's taxonomy places the organism in Eukaryota, Metazoa, Chordata, Mammalia, Primates, Cebidae.